UGGGGAAUAUUGCACAAUGGGCGCAAGCCUGAUGCAGCCAUGCCGCGUGUAUGAAGAAGGCCUUCGGGUUGUAAAGUACUUUCAGCAAGGAGGAAGGCGUUGUGGUUAAUAACCGCAGCGAUUGACGUUACUCGCAGAAGAAGCACCGGCUAACUCCGUGCCAGCAGCCGCGGUAAUACGGAGGGUGCAAGCGUUAAUCGGAAUUACUGGGCGUAAAGCGCACGCAGGCGGUCUGUCAAGUCGGAUGUGAAAUCCCCGGGCUCAACCUGGGAACUGCAUCCGAAACUGGCAGGCUAGAGUCUUGUAGAGGGGGGUAGAAUUCCAGGUGUAGCGGUGAAAUGCGUAGAGAUCUGGAGGAAUACCGGUGGCGAAGGCGGCCCCCUGGACAAAGACUGACGCUCAGGUGCGAAAGCGUGGGGAGCAAACA
This 427-nucleotide ribosomal RNA is filed under the name uncultured bacterium. RNAcentral's name for it is "partial 16S ribosomal RNA". It matches the Rfam family "Bacterial small subunit ribosomal RNA", at positions 355 to 774 of the family's 1533-position model. The record is from RNAcentral.